CUCUCUCUCUCUCUCUCACACACACACACACACACACACACACACACACACACACAGAUCCACGCGGAGCACCGACUCAGGUGCCGCCAUGGACCAGGAGGGGAACGUGAAGAGGACAACUAGAAACAGAGGGUGGUUACCGUAGUAACUGGAUCUCUCCUCUUCACCUCUGUGCCUGGUGAUGCUGUCUCUCCAUCUGGCUUCUCUUCUCUCGCUUCUAGAUACACUACCUCUACACUGAUAGUGGAUGACACAGAAACAGGAGGGGCUGGUUUCUCAUCUUUUCACCCUAACUGAGAAGGGAACCUUAUUCUCCGACACUCUCCUUGUCAGGACGGAACCCUACACUUUUUCCCUUUCCUUAUCUUUUUCUCUGAGAUCGUUGGCUUCCACUUCCCUGGGAUUUCUAACGUUUUUAUUCCGCCAUGGCUCACGCAGCCUCCGCAUUGAAGAAGAACCGGGACGUGGAUGUCAAUGCUAUCGAGGAUGAGAAAGAAAAGAAAAGGAGAAUUAAGAAACUUGCGUCCCGGGAACAAAAGAGAAAGUCGGACAGCAAUGCCAGUUACCUGCGAGCAGCGCGGGCUGGGAACCUUGAAAAGGCCCUGGACUACCUGAAGUCUGGGGUGGAAAUCAACAUCUGCAACCAGAAUGGAUUGAACGCUCUUCAUCUGGCCUCUAAGGAGGGUCAUGUGGAGGUGGUGGCUGAGCUGCUGAAGCUAGAAGCCAAUGUGGACGCAGCAACCAAGAAAGGAAACACCGCUCUUCACAUAGCCUCCCUGGCCGGCCAAACGGAAGUGGUGAAAGAGCUGGUCACCAAUGGAGCCAAUGUCAACGCACAGUCUCAGAAUGGCUUCACCCCACUGUACAUGGCUGCCCAGGAGAACCAUCUGGAGGUGGUACGCUUCCUGCUGGGACACAACUCCAGCCAGAGUAUGGCCACCGAGGACGGGUUCACUCCUCUGGCGGUGGCCCUGCAGCAGGGGCAUGACCAGGUGGUGUCUCUGCUCCUGGAGAAUGACACCAAGGGCAAGGUCCGCCUGCCAGCCCUGCACAUCGCCGCCCGCAAGGACGACACCAAGGCUGCAGCGUUACUUAUCCAGAACGACCACAAUGCAGAUGUCGAGUCCAAGAUGAUGGUGAAUAGAACGACAGAGAGCGGCUUCACUCCUCUCCACAUCGCUGCUCACUAUGGCAACAUCAACGUGGCCACGCUUCUGCUGAACCGAGGGGCCGCUGUGGACUUCAUGGCCAGGAAUGACAUCACACCUCUCCAUGUGGCAUCUAAAAGAGGAAAUAGUAAUAUGGUCAAAUUGCUGUUGGACAGAGGCUCCAAAAUAGAUGGCAAGACCAAGGACGGACUGACACCUCUUCACUGUGGAGCGAGGAGCGGUCAUGAACAAGUGGUUGAGAUUCUGCUGGACCGCGGAGCACCCAUUCUGUCCAAGACAAAGAACGGGCUGUCCCCUUUGCACAUGGCCACUCAGGGCGACCACAUCAACUGUGUCCAGCUACUCCUCCAGAAUGACGUCCCUGUCGAUGAUGUGACCAAUGACUACCUGACAGCGCUACACGUGGCAGCCCACUGUGGACACUACAAAGUGGCCAAGCUCAUAGUGGACAAGAAAGCCAACCCAAAUGCUAAAGCACUGAACGGCUUCACCCCGCUUCACAUCGCCUGCAAGAAGAACCGCGCCAAAGUGAUGGAGCUGCUGCUGAAACACGGCGCAUCGAUCCAGGCUGUGACCGAGUCUGGACUUACUCCUAUCCACGUGGCAGCCUUCAUGGGACAUGAUAACAUUGUCAACUCUCUGACACAUCACGGAGCUUCACCCAACACCACCAACGUGAGGGGUGAGACAGCGCUGCACAUGGCAGCACGGGCGGGUCAGGCGGACGUGGUGCGAUACCUGCUGCAGAAUGGAGCUAAUGUGGAGACCAAGGCCAAGGACGACCAGACGGCGCUGCACAUCUCUAGCCGGCUGGGGAAGGCUGACAUCGUCCAGCAGCUGCUGCAGCGGGGGGCUUCUGCCAAUGCUGCCACCACGUCAGGCUACACACCCCUCCACCUGGCUGCCCGCGAGGGCCACGAGGACGUAGCCGCCAUGCUGCUGGACCAGGGUGCAUCGCUCUCAGCCUCCACUAAGAAAGGGUUCAGUCCUCUUCACGUGGCAGCCAAGUAUGGGAAGAUGGAAGUGGCCAGCCUGCUUCUUCAGAAGAGAGCAGCUCCAGAUGCAGCUGGAAAGAGUGGGCUAACUCCACUGCAUGUAGCUGCUCACUACGAUAAUCAGAGAGUGGCUCUACUGCUUCUGGAUCAGGGAGCAUCUCCCCACGCUUCCGCCAAGAAUGGCUACACACCCCUCCACAUAGCUGCCAAGAAGAACCAGAUGGACAUAGGGACCACGCUACUGGAAUACGGGGCAGACACCAACGCUGUGACCCGCCAGGGCAUCAGUCCUGUUCACCUGGCUGCACAGGAGGGCAGUGUGGACCUGGUCUCUCUGCUCCUCUCCAAGAACGCCAAUGUCAACAUGGGCAACAAGAGCGGCCUCACACCCCUCCACUUAGCAGCGCAGGAGGACAAAGUCAACGUGGCAGAAGUCCUGCUCAACCAGGGGGCGGACAUCGACCCCGAGACAAAGAUGGGAUACACUCCGCUGCAUGUGGCUUGUCACUAUGGCAACAUCAAGAUGGCAAACUUCCUCUUACAGAACCAGGCCAGAGUUGAUGGCAAAACAAAGAACGGCUACACGCCCCUCCACCAGGCGGCGCAGCAGGGUCACACCCACAUCAUCAACCUGCUGCUGCAGCACGGAGCCUCGGCCAAUCAGCUGACCGUGAACGGGAACACAGCCUUGUCCAUUGCCCGUCGCCUUGGUUACAUCUCAGUGGUGGACACUCUCAUGCCGCUGACUGAUGAGAAUCUGACCUCUGUGACUACGACAGAAAAACACAAAAUGAACGUCCCCGAGACCAUGAAUGAGUUUCUGGACAUGUCUGAAGACGAAGUUAAGGCUAAUGUGCCGGAAAUUCUCAAUGAGGACUGUAUUUCAGAUGUUGACGAAGGUGAGGAUGCAAUGACCGGAGACACUGACAAAUAUCUGCGGCCCCAGGACCUCAAGGAGCUGGGGGACGACUCUCUCCCGCAGGAGGGCUACAUGGGGUUCAGCAUAGGAGUCCGCUCAGCAAGCCCUAGGAUCAGCCUCCGCUCCUUCAGUUCGGAUAGGUCCAACACCCUCAACCGCAGCUCCUACGCACGGGACAGCAUGACGAUAGAGGAGAUCCUCGCCCCGACCAAGGACACACUUCAGAGUGUCUGUAAAGACCUUUCCUACUUGGUUGACCCUCUCAAUAAGCACCUGGCUAUAACCCGGGACUACGAUGCAGAGUGCCUGAGGCGCUACAGCUGGACCCCAGACACCAUGGACCACAGCAACACUGUGUCCAGCCCUAUUCACUCAGGCUUGUCCUCCCCGCUCCCUCAGUAUGACUCCAGAUUCCUGGUUAGCUUCAUGGUGGAUGCUCGUGGGGGGUCCAUGAGAGGAAGCCGAAGCAACGGCAUGCGUAUCAUCAUCCCGCCCCGGAAGUGCACGGCUCCCACCCGCAUCACCUGCCGCCUGGCCAAGAGGCACAAGCUGGCCUACCCCCCGCCCAUGGUGGAGGGAGAGGGCCUGGUCAGCCGGCUGGUUGAGGUCGGUCCUGCAGGAGCCCAGUUUCUGGGCCCUGUAAUCGUGGAGAUUCCUCAUUUUGGCUCCAUGAGGGGGAAGGAGAGGGAGCUGAUCGUACUCAGGAGCGACAAUGGUGACACAUGGAAGGAACACCAGUACGACUGCCAUCCAAGUGACAUCACAGACAUUCUGAACGGGAUGGACGAAGAACUGGACAGCAAUGCUGAGCUGGAGAAGAAGCGGAUUUGUCGGAUCAUCACCAGGGACUUCCCCCAGUACUUUGCGGUGGUGUCCAGGAUCAAGCAGGAGAGUAACCACAUGGGUCCAGAGGGUGGAACGCUGACCAGCCAGACAGUGCCCAUGGUCCAGGCUUCGUUCCCACAGGGGGCGCUCACCAAGAAGAUACGCGUUGGCCUGCAGGCUCAGCCCGUCCCAGACGACAUGGUGAGGAAUCUUCUCGGCAACAGGGCCACCUUCAGCCCUAUAGUUACCGUGGAGCCCAGGAGGAGGAAGUUCCACAAGCCCAUUACCAUGACGAUCCCUGUUCCGCCCCGAUCUGCAGAAGGCCACCCCAGUGGACACAGGGGGGACUCCACCCCCUGCCUGCGCCUCCUCUGCAGCAUCACAGGUGGAACAUCUCCUGCCCAGUGGGAGGACAUCACAGGGACCACUCCCCUGUCCUUUGUCACAGACUGUGUUUCCUUCACAACAAAUGUGUCGGCCAGGUUCUGGCUUACAGACUGUCACCAGACUCCUGAGACGGUCAGUCUGGCCUCUCAGCUAUACCGGGAGCUGAUCUGUGUGCCAUACCUGGCCAAGUUUGUGGUGUUUGCCAAGAUGAACGAUCCUGUAGAGUCACGCCUCCGCUGCUUCUGCAUGACGGACGACAAGGUGGACAAGACUCUGGAACAACAGGAGAACUUUGAAGAGGUGGCCAGGAGCAAGGACAUUGAGGUCUUGGAGGGCAAGCCUAUCCAUGUGGAUUGCUAUGGCAACUUAUCUCCUCUUACCAAGAGUGGGCAGCAGCUGAUCUUCAACUUCUUCUCUUUCAAAGAGAACCGGCUUCCUUUCAAUGUGAAGGUCAGAGACAUGGGCCAAGAACCAUGCGGUCGACUCUCAUUCUUGAGAGAGCCAAAAACCACUAAAGGUCUUCCACAGACUGCUGUAUGUAAUUUGAAUAUCACACUGCCAACUCAUAAGAAGGACAUGAUGGAGUCUGAUCCUGAUGAUGAGACUGAAAAACCAGACCGACGUCAUACCUUUGCCUCCUUAGCUUUGCGUAAGCGCUACAGCUAUCUGACCGACCCUGCAGCGAAAACAACUGAUCGGAGCUCGCCGAGAACACAGCCUACUGGCUACACUCACAAACCUGUCUUUUCAACGAGAUCUUAUCAGGCGUGGUCGGCUGUUCCUGUCUCCGUCCCUGGCCAAGCCAAGUCUGGAUUCGGUUCCCACUCCAGUUCAUCGUCCAACACGCCCACUGCCUCUCCACUGAAGUCUGUGUGGUCCAUCACCUCAGUGUCCCCCAUCAAGUCCAACAUAGGCGGCUCACCGGCCCAUUCCAUCAAGUCAGUCAGCGACAUAGCUUCCCCCAUCAGGUCGUACAGGACCAUUUCAUCCCCAAUAAAGACUGUAGUUCAGCAGGCCCAGUACCCAGUUCAGGUUACCCCCAGUCUCCAGUCAUCGCCAGUCAGAAGCAUUCCGGACCAUGUUUCCAUCAAGGGACUGGCAGCAUUGUCUACUAGAACCUCUCCUAUCACCACUGGUGGAGGGUGUCUGCUAGAAAGGUCAUCAAUCACCAUGACGCCACCUGCUUCCCCUAAAUCCUCACUGAACAUGUACAGUUCAACUCUUCCAUUCAAGGGUGUCAUUGUGGGAACUGGCACAACAACAUCGUCCUCUCCUAUAAAAACUGUUCCUGGCCUCUCCUCUGUCCGGUCCAGUGCAGACCCCUCAAGCCCCUCAAGGAGUCUCUUUUCCUCCCUCUCAUCACCAAUUAAAUCCAACACUCCUCCUAGUGCUGCAGCUCUGAUCAAUGGAACAGUAUCCCCUACAAAGUACCGCUCCUCCUCCCCCACGUCCCUACUCUCCAGCAGCUUACAGGGGAGGAUACAGGCAACCACCAAUGCAGCAACAACAAGCGUAAAUGCAGCCUUUGACGAGGUUGAAAAAACGUUCAAUUCCUGCUCUGCCUCUGGAUAUGGCACUCUUAAGUCCAUGUCCUCCUCAGCGUCAUCCUCUUACCAGUCCAUAAGAUCCUCAGCCUCUAGUUCCCUAUAUGCCUCUUUACGGUCCCCACUAAACCCACCAAGCCCAAUGACUGUCCCAGUGUAUUCAAUUAUAAAUGUUUUGCCAGAACCCCAAUUUAAAAAGCUCCCUGAGGUGUCAAAGUCAGCUGCUGCCCUCUUGUCCCCUCGAAAAACUAUGCCUGCUGAGACAAACUCUCAAGCCCAGUCUUCCUUUGCCAGAACUCUGUCACCUGUCAAAUCCCCCUUAUUCAUGUCCCCGGCUGCCCUAAAAUCCACCACCUCAUCCCCGCUGUCCUCCAGCCAAGAGAUACUGAAGGACGUGGCAGAAAUGAAAGAGGACUUGAUACGGAUGUCUAACAUCUUGCAAACAGAACCAAGUUCAGCCUCCAAAGGAUUCCAGUCUGACUUCCCCAAAGAGGCUAGAAUGGAGGACGAGGAGCCUUACAGAAUUGUAGAGAAAGUGAAACAGGACCUGGUCAAAGUUAGUGAGAUACUAACCAAGGAUACGGUCAAGAAUAACAAGGCAGCUUUUAAAACAAAUACAACAGACGAGGUACAGUUCUCUAAACAAGUAACAGUGGAUCCCCAGCAAAGCAACUGGAGUUAUCCACCAAGAUAUGAGACAGUGGUCCCUCAAAUCAAAACUAAGUCUAUACCAGACAGAGAUUUCAAUCUAUCGAAGGUAGUAGACUACUUGACAAAUGACAUUGGCAGUAGCUCUAUCUCAAAAAUUGCAGAUGUAAAGCAUAGAUCUGAUGAGGUUAGAAGAGAAGGAGAGGAGAAACAGAAACGUAUGCUUAAACCUGAGCACAAGCUGAAAAUGCCACCCGCAAACAUGCGGUCCUCUGCCUCAGAAAAGGAGCUCUGUAAACUAGCAGAUGUGCUAUUUGGGCCUGAUGCCAUGUUAGAAUCUCCGGAUGACAUCUCACAUGACCAGGACAAGAGUCCCCUCUCAGACAGUGGCUUUGAGACAAGGAGUGAAAGGACGCCAUCUGCCCCACAGAGUGCAGAAGGCAUGGGACCCAAGACACUUUUCCAGGAUAUUCCACCAGUAAUCACGGAGACAAGGACUGAGGUUGUUCAUGUUAUUAGGAGCUAUGAGUCUCCUGAAGAUAACAAGCAACCAAUGAUGGAGGAUACAAGGGCGGUUAGAUACAUUGAUGCUGAGCCCAAAGGGCUGAAUGCAUCCAAUGUGGACCAAACAAAAGCAUUUCAGAUGAAAAUCAGCCCGGACGAUGACUCGAUGGGCAAGGGCAUGCGAGUUAAGGAAGAGACCCACAUCACAACUACUACCCGAAUGGUGUACCACAAACCCCAGAGUAAAGAGAAUACAUCAGAGAGGAUUGAAGAGUCAAUGUCAGUGCAUGAUAUCAUGAAAGCUUUCCAGUCCGGCAGGGAUCCCUCCAGAGAACUUGCUGGACUGUUUGAGCACAAGGCCGGCAACGAUGACACAUCACAGAGAGUUCUUGAAGAUAUCAGCUCAAAGCCCAAAGUUGAAAGAAUAAUUGAGGUUCACAUUGAAAAGGGCAACAAAACUGAACCAACUGAGGUCAUCAUCCGGGAGACAAAAAAUCACCCAGAGAAGGAGAUGUACUUCUACCAAGGGAACAGUGGAAUGUCACGACACGGAGAGGAGGAGCCUGAAGAAUCGCUCCCCUGUUACCUAGAGUCUUCCAGAGUAAACACGCCCAUGACACAGGAAGAUGAUAGUCAUCCAAGCUCUGAACAGCUCAUGGCAGACGACUCGUACAAAACCCUGAAGUUACUCAGCCAGCACUCUGUGGAAUAUAAUGAUGAUGAAUCAUCAGAAGUCAGAGGAGAGUCUUACAACUUUGCCGACAAAAUGCUUCUCUCUGAGAAACCAGAAUCGUCUCACUCUGACACUGAGGAGUAUUUAAGGGACAGGUCUCGUUUUCAAUCCCCAGAUAGGAGUUGUUAUAGUCAGGGAAGGUCUAGUGGAUCAAGGCAAGAAUAUAUUUUGAAGUCAUCAAACACAGACAAAUCAGGUCAAAUUGCCAAUGUAGAUGAUAACUUUGACAAACUAACACUGUUGCAGUAUUCCUCAGAACCUGGUAGCCCAAAGCACUCUGUUUGGAUGCGUGUCACUGAUGACAGACAGGGCAAGAAUAGAGAAAAGCUGAUAUAUGAAGACAGAGUAGACAGAACUGUUAAGGAAGCAGAGGAAAAGCUUAGCGAAGUCUCUCAGUUUUUUCGUGAUAAGACAGAGAAACUGAACGAUGAGCUUUCUUCCCCUGAGAAGAAGUCCCGUAGGUCCGACUUUAGGGAAACACGAUCAGGGCCUAGCUCUACGCACAGCAGUCCUGAAAGAUCAGCAUACAGGAAUGGGGGCAGUGGUGAAGAAUGUAGAGACCGUUUCAGAGACAGGUUUGGCUCCAAUGAUAGAAAAUGUGCUAGUUUACCAAGCAGCCCAGAGAGGAGAGUGCUGCUACAAUAUAAUGAUGACAAUAGAAAACCAGGGGAUGGCAUCUCACAGGGCAAUGUGGGUGAUGCCUCCAAACCUUUUCAAAUGUCAUCCUCCAAAGUCAGCGCUGUUAGGCUACAUUUUGAACAAGAGGCUCAAAAGCAAGACACGGGUCCACAAUGGGGACACACAUCAAAUCCCCCAGUAAGAAAACUCCUGGAAAGUAAGCUGCCUGUGUAUCAGGUUUUUGCAGGCUCAAAUAUACCCAAAUCACCAGACAGUCCAGGAUGUACAAGGAAGGUUCUAGAAAGUGAGGUAAGAGGAUCUAGUGGACCAAGCCCCAGUGCUAAUAGGUAUAUUUACUCAUCUCCUAAACACGGCACAAACGGAAAUGAACAGGAAGAAAAAAAGUCCUUCAAAACUUGGGAAUGUCAUGGAAAUGGAAACUAUCAACCCCAAGUGUCAAUUCACAAAGACCACAAUUCACAAAGAGAACAGCAGAGUUUUAGAGAUGGAAUAGCCAGAAAAGAAGAGACAACCAAGAAAAUAAUUUACACAGAGGUUGUGGUCCGAGAAAACCCAAAUAGUACCGGUGGUCUAAAAAAAAACUCGGAAUCGCAAAUUCCUGUUAGAAUGCCAUCUAGUUUCUCAGAAAAUCAUCAAUCCACUUCAUUAAAAUUUGAUACCUCUGUUAAACUGUGUGAAAGGCCAGGGUUACAAAUACCUACUUUAGCUAGAAAUAGGUUACACAGCGGCUCUGAAUCCAGAAAAUCCACAAACGGCUCAUCAGUAGAAAAAUCAUCUGAUUCUUUUGAUAGUAGUCAGUCAACUGUAAUGUGUAAUGGUAUAGAUAGCGAUCAAGUAGGGUACUUGGAAAACAUUGUUACUGAGGGUUACAAAGACAUCAAACCUUUGCCAGUUUAUGUUAGCAUCCAAGUGGGCAAGAAAUACGAAAAAGAAACAGCUGAGAAGCUGGGAACAUACAAAAAGAUAGUGAGUCACGAGAGCCGAACAGUGCAUGAGACACGGGGAGCGCGUUACACCAUUAAACAAAAACAGACCCCAUCUCCUCAAGGCAGCCCAGAGGAUGACACUCUAGAGCAAGUUACUUUCAUGGACAGCUCUGGCAAAAGUCCUGUUACUCCUGAGACACCAAGUUCUGAGGAGGUGAGCAUUGCCUCCAGAACGCCAGAUUCCGUGAUUGGAUACAUGCCCGGAAUGCCCAUUCCAAUAGCAGAGGAGUCUGAAGAAGAUGAAGGAAAGACCUUCAUCUACAAGGAGUCUCUGCCAAAGAAAACCAAGCCUGCCUCAUCAGAACCCUCCAACCGAAAUCAGGAAACACUGAAACGACACAAAGAGAAAAGGGUCGCUUACAUUGAGUUUCCCCCCCCUCCGCCUUUAGAGGCAGAGCAUUCUGACCCUGAUAAGAGGGGAUCUUGUGCCUCCUCAGAGGCUGAGACAGAGAUGAUGGAGGUGAACCUCCAAGAGGAGCAUGAUCGGCACCUCCUUGCAGAGCCCAUCAUCAGGGUUCAACCUCCCUCUCCGGUUCCACCUGGAGCAGACGACAGCGACUCUAGCGACGAUGAGUCUGUCUUCCAUCCCAUUCCCAACAAAAAGUACACCUUCAAGAUGAAGGAAAAGGAGGAAGGAGAGAAGCGUCUAAAACCCCAAAAGCCUGAGAGGAACGGAAACAACAAGGAGUCAGUCACGAAUGUCGUUGAAAAAGAAGAGGAUGUAGACUUAGAGAAAAAUGGCAACGACCAGUCAAUCACAGACUGCUCCAUAGCCACAACUGCUGAGUUCUCUCAUGACACAGAUGCCACUGAAAUAGACUCUCUCGAUGGCUAUGACCUUCAAGAUGAGGAUGAUGGAUUGAGUGAACAAGACCCUAAAACAUCAAGCCUGUCCAAUGACGGCAAGACAUGUGAUCGUUCCUUUAGUCAAUCAAAGCUUGAAGUCAUAGAGGAGGAGAAAACACCAAGUGAGGAUGGAGGGGAUAAUGGGAAAGCAAACUCAGACCAAAACACCGGAGAAGAAAAAGACUACACUCUUGAGGGAAGACAUCCAGAUAGACAGGGCGAUAGACAAGACUUUGCAGAUAACUAUUUUCGUUGUCAACUCGAAGAGGAGUUAAACUCUACCUUCAAAACAGUCGCCACGAAAGGCUUAGACUUUGACCCCUGGUCAAGCAAAGGGGGAGAAGGAGAAGGAGUUUUUGAUGCCAAAGCGAGAGAAGAAGAUCCCAAGCCUUUUGGUUUGUCUGUGGAGGACAAAUCGCAAGCCACCACUCCAGACACUACCCCUGCUAGAACCCCGACUGAUGAAAGCACACCGACUAGCGAGCCUAACCCUUUCCCCUUCCAUGAGGGGAAGAUGUUUGAGAUGACGCGCAGUGGUGCAAUUGACAUGAGCAAGCGGGACUUUGUUGAAGAGAGGCUUCAAUUUUUCCAGAUUGGUCCUCAGAGUCCCUGUGAGCGAACAGACCUGCGGAUGGCCAUUGUGGCCGACCACCUGGGACUUAGCUGGACUGAGCUGGCUCGGGAAAUGAACUUUUCUGUCGACGAGAUCAACCACAUCCGAGUGGAGAACCCCAACUCCCUGACAGCGCAGAGCUUCAUGCUGCUAAAGAAAUGGGUCAGCCGGGACGGUAAAAACGCAACGACGGAUGCCUUAACUGGAGUGCUGACCAAAGUCAAUCGGAUGGAUAUUGUGACUUUACUGGAGGGGCCGAUAUUUGACUAUGGUAACAUUUCAGGCACGAGAAGUUUUGCCGAUGAUAACGCUGUUUACCUGGAUCAGGCUGAUGAUUAUCACUGCAUCCUAGCGGAGCUGCAGUCCCCAGCCCAACUGCACUCUGACCCUUCCUUCACAGAGCUCUACUCUGAACCCCCUACCCUCACCAUAGAUCCCGAACCUUCCCCUGUCCAGCUCAAGCCAGACCCUCCUAUCUUCAUCCUCACCCAGUCCGAGUCCUGGGCCGACCACAUGGAGCCUGACUCCUCCAAUAGGAGCCCUUCUAGACCAUAUGAGCUGUCCCUGUACAUUCCCACCCUUGACUUAGAUCCCACCGCUGCCAUGGCUGAAGGUGACCAGGUGCUGAUAGUGGAAGAAGAGAAAAAGGAAGUGGACAUAAGCCUCCAACAGAUGUCAUUCGCUUCCCCUGAACAGUGUGAGGUAGAAAAAGAGGUCAAAAAGCAAGUCUCCUUCUUCUCAUCAUCUUUGUCCUCCCCAUCAUCGCCAUGGCAAGCACAGCAGGACAGCAGACGGGCAGGGGCUGAGGAGGUCGUGAAGGGAGAUGGUGAGGAAGUGGUAGAGGCAGGUGAGAUGGCGGAAAACGGGGAUAAAGUGAUAGAAGAGGGGGACAAUAAGAUGGUCUUGGAGGGGGGUAAGGAGCGAGAGAAUGGGGCUGAGGUGGCGGAAGAGGGGGAUAAUAAGAUGGUGUUGGAGGGGGGUAAGGAGCCAGAGAAUGGGGCUGAGGCGUUGGGGGAGCAGGGAGUGUCUGGUUCCACUGAGGAAAAGGAUGGAGAUGAAAAUGAGAUGACAGAAGACAAGUUGAAGUCGCUGUUGGAGGAUAUUCAUUUGGAGGAAGGCUCAGAGGAAGAGGAGGGCGAGGAAAUGACGGAGGCCAAGGUUCAGGAGAUUCUCAGUCAGGUGAAGCAGGCAGAAAAAGACAUGUGUUCACUUCCAGGUUGGCACAGUGAGACAUUCAGCGUCAACGUGGAGCCGCCCACACCUAGCCGCAGUGUGAGCUCAGACCUGCUAGACCGCCAGGAAAAUAGCCAGGAGAACUCCAGUGACUCCGCCACCUCUUCCUCUAGAGGGGAGCCCGGGAGGUCCAGGCACAAUGGCGAUCACACGGAGCUAGCACCUCAUGACGGGUCACUUCCUCUAUCGCAGGACUCAGCCAACAGAAGAGCUGGACAUGGGAAGGAAGAAGGCGUACUUGUGUCUGAGAAGAAAGUCCAGCAGAGUUUUAGUGAGUCUGGCACUGAUGAGGAACAAACCGUCACCACCAGGGUGUUUCGGCGCCGGGUCAUUCUUAAGGGAGAACAGGCAAAGAAUAUUCCAGGCGAAUCAGUGACAGAAGAACAGUUUACCGAUGAAGACGGUAACAUCAUCACUAGAAAAGUAACUAUCUGCCUCUGCCCUCGUCCUAAAAAUACACCUCUGAAUUAUCAUACCCACCUUCUCAAAGCAUCCUUGAAACUCUCCUCCCAAAACAUCCUAAGGCCUAUCCACUUGUGUUUGUGUGUGUAUCCCGGCCAUACCCUCUCCAUCUUGACCAUGAUCAUUAUCUCCUUCCCUUUUCCCAGGUCAUCAGAAAAGUCAUCAGGCGGGUGUCCAUGCCUGACGACCAGGGCGGGGACAGGGGGAGGUGGGACCGAGGAGACCUCUGGCCUUGCCCUUUCUCACUGGAGGAGGAGCUAGAGCAAGGAGAUGGAGCUAAAAGCAGGAGGAAGGAGGAGAGGUUGGGAGAAAAGAAGCUUCACUCGUAGGGCUAGCUGUGCUCCACCAGGUGUGCAGGAAUUAGUCUCCACGGCAGAAAGUUACACACAACUAGAAACUAAAGGAAAAUAGGACAUUUCAGCCCAAUACUUCCAACGUGUGGUUUUCAAGCGUGAAGAACUUGACCCGUCUGAUUUUAGCAUGAGCAUGAAAAACACUCUCUGUCAAUUGAGGGAUCUGGGAGGUUCUCACCAUGGAAUCUGAAUUCUAAUUGUACAGCUCUCACUUCCUGUGGUCUAUGGACCAGAAGAAUUAUGCUUCCUGUUUGUGACUCGUAACGUGCCAUUGGUGUCAUGAGAGCUUUUGAGGAGCAUUGUGGUGACACUGAAAAAGGACUCCAUUACAGAAAAACUACAAGUGGUCAUGAGAAAAAAAAAACAUUGGUGUCGUGAGAGCUUUUGAGGAUCAUUGUGGUGAGACCGAAAAAGGACUCCAUUACAGAAAAACCACAGGUGCAACUGAACAUACACUGCCCUGUGACCAAAGAUGGCACAAAAGCUAAAUUCUAAUAGUAGGAGAAAGAAACUCAACAAAAUUACACAAAAAGAAGAGGAUCACUUCUGAUCCACCUCCAACACUCGCCUUAUAUUUUCUUUCUUGGACCCAUAAAUGUCAGGUUGUAAAUUGCUGGGGUUUUUGUUUUCCUUUAUAAACCUGAAAAUAACAAGACUUUUUUCUGUAUAGAAAUUACAAUCUGUACAAUUCUAAAAUGAUGAGUUACAAGAUGAUAAUGCAGAGGAGAGAACUUUACAAGUGCUUUCAACAUGAUUAUCAAAAUGGUUCAAGAUUUGAGUGAACUUCACAUGUUGUUGUAUAAUUAAUUAUUAUAGCAGGUAUAACAUUUGUAUAUGAAAAAAGCUGGUUUGAUUUUAACAGAGGAAAUUUCCAGAAAAUCUUCUGCAAAUUUCAGUGAUUCCCAAAAUGGGGAUGUAUCUAAUUCUGCAAAAGCAGUCUUUCAGAGUACUCAUAUUUUCAUGCAUGCCUUUCACAUUAUUUUAAGUAAAAUUUGUACAAGUUUGAAAACACUGUAUUAAAAAUUAGAAUUAAAACCCUUUAUCUGUGUACAACUAUAGCCUUAACAUUUGUCACCAGUUUUAUAUUUGAAAUUAGAAAAGAAAAAAAAAAAACAUAAGUGUUUUUUUUUGUCUCGGACGAGGAACAGUAUGAAGAAAGUUUGUUCUAUAGCUUCUUGAGGAUUACUGCUUCUCUAUGUACAACUGAAGGGCGGCUUCUGCAGGGUUUAUCAUAAAUGCUAUGAGAAAGGAGUAAUCUGAAUGUAUAUGCUAGAAGACUGUCUCGCUGUAAAAUUAUAAAUGUAUUGUGUGUAUUGGCUAUAAGGUGUAGAGGUCGCUGUAAGACUGUAAGACUGUUUGUAAUCAUUUUAGCAGUGUGUCAAUUGGUUUUAUAAAGGCUGCUGUGGUUUUAAAGAUGGGGUUUUGGGGUUUUUGGGAAGUAUUUCCUUAAGUUUAAUCUACUCACAUAAAGACACACAAGGCAUUAUUUGAUUGUAACUCUUGAUAGCAUAUGUAUGACAAAAACACUGGAUGGUCAAAACGAUUAUUUAAGCAUAAAAUAAAUUGUGUUGAACUCUGAAAUUGUGUGAUCUUUUUAGGCUUGAGAAUCUAUAUGCAGUGUCUAACUAGCAUUGUUUUGAUAGCUCAUUGGCGAUUACUUUGCAUUAGAUCUUCUCUUUGUAUUGGUUAGACUAGAGGCCCAUGUAGUUCAAGUGUGGUGUUAUUCUGGUGUGAAGGCUCAGACUUAGUGUGAUGAUGUUUAUGCUGUGGACAUGACAACCAUGUAAAGGACUUCAUUUCUUUUGACAAGUGAAGCAAUUUAGGGUAUUGUAUCAUAUAUCCUAUCUUACAUGUCAAUCAGGGGGUAGAGGGUAAUUUGAUAUGGUUGAACUAUCAAUUUUGUCAAUUUUGUUUGAUAUGUGUUUUCAACUGAGCAAAUUUUUUCGAUGUACAAUUCUUACUAACAGAGUGAAGCCAUUGAAAUGUAACUAUUCUAGCACUUUGGUUAUUCAAAGUCUUCUUUUAGAGGCUAUAGAAGCAAUGACGCCACCACAAUGUUUCAAGCGUCUUAAAAAAAAUGUAAUUUAAAAACAAAAUAAAUAAAAAAGCAUUGGUUUUGAAAUA
Molecule: RNA transcript, 14980 nt
Organism: Oncorhynchus tshawytscha (Chinook salmon)
Lineage: Eukaryota; Metazoa; Chordata; Actinopteri; Salmoniformes; Salmonidae
Gene: ank3a
Gene name: ankyrin 3a
Exons: 50
Source: RefSeq, a predicted model, not a curated record